CUAGAAAAUAAUAUAGAGGGAGUAUGAAGAGUUUUGAUCUCUUCUGUGUAGGUUCGAUUCCUACUUUUCUAGG
RNAcentral lists this transfer RNA (73 nucleotides) under Chlamydia abortus. Its description in RNAcentral is "tRNA-Gln(ttg)". It matches the Rfam family "tRNA". Rfam says of the family: Transfer RNA (tRNA) molecules are approximately 80 nucleotides in length. Their secondary structure includes four short double-helical elements and three loops (D, anti-codon, and T loops). The record is from RNAcentral. Lineage: Bacteria; Pseudomonadati; Chlamydiota; Chlamydiia; Chlamydiales; Chlamydiaceae.